AUACGAAGGGGGCAAGCGUUAAUCGGAAUUACUGGGCGUAAAGCGCGCGCAGGCGGUCCUUUAAGUCUGAUGUGAAAGCCCACGGCUCAACCGGGGAGGGUCAUUGGAAACUGGAGGACUUAAGGGCAGAAGAGGAAAGUGGAAUUCCAAGUGUAGCGGUGAAAUGCGUAGAGAUUUGGAGGAACACCGGUGGGAAAGGCGACUUUCUGGUCUGUAACGGACGCUGAGGCGGGAAAGCGUGGGGAGCAAAAAGGAUUAGAUACCCGGGUAGUCCACGCCGUAAACGAUGAGUGCUAAGUGUUAGGGGGUUUCCGCCCCUUAGUGCUGCAGCUAACGCAUUAAGCACUCCGCCUGGGGAGUACGGUCGCAAGACUGAAACUCAAAGGAAUUGACGGG
RNAcentral lists this ribosomal RNA (396 nucleotides) under uncultured bacterium. Its description in RNAcentral is "partial 16S ribosomal RNA". It matches the Rfam family "Bacterial small subunit ribosomal RNA", at positions 523 to 917 of the family's 1533-position model. The record is from RNAcentral.